RNAcentral lists this ribosomal RNA (453 nucleotides) under uncultured bacterium. Its description in RNAcentral is "bacterial SSU rRNA". It matches the Rfam family "Bacterial small subunit ribosomal RNA", at positions 340 to 786 of the family's 1533-position model. The record is from RNAcentral.
UACGGAAGGCAGCAGUGGGGAAUAUUGCACAAUGGGCGAAAGCCUGAUGCAGCUAUGCCGCGUGUAUGAAGAAGGCCUUAGGGUUGUAAAGUACUUUCAUCGGGGAGGAAAAACAAAACUAAUAAUUUUAUUUCUUGACGUUACCCGAAAAAGAAGCACCGGCUAACUCCGUGCCAGCAGCCGCGGUAAUACGGAGGGUGCUAGCGUUAAUCAGAAUUACUGGGCGUAAAGAGCACGUAGGUGGUUUUUUAAGUCAGAUGUGAAAUCCCUGGGCUUAACCUAGGAACUGCAUUUGAAACUGAAAUACUAGAGUAUCGUAGAGGGAGGUAGAAUUCUAGGUGUAGCGGUGAAAUGCGUAGAUAUCUGGAGGAAUACCUGUGGCGAAAGCGGCCUCCUAAACGAAUACUGACACUGAGGUGCGAAAGCGUGGGGAGCAAACAGGGAUUAGAUACC